GAUGAAGAACGCAGCGAAAUGCGAUACGUAAUGUGAAUUGCAAAUUCAGUGAAUCAUCGAGUCUUUGAACGCACAUUGCGCCCCCUGGUAUUCCGGGGGGCAUGCCUGUCCGAGCGUCAUUGCUGCCCUCAAGCACGGCUUGUGUGUUGGGCCCCGUCCUCCGAUCCCGGGGGACGGGCCCGAAAGGCAGCGGCGGCACCGCGUCCGGUCCUCGAGCGUAUGGGGCUUUGUCACCCGCUCUGUAGGCCCGGCCGGCGCUUGCCGACACAUCAAUCUUUUUUCCAGGUUGACCUCGGAUCAGGUAGGGAUACCCGCUGAACUUAAGCAUAUCAAUAAGCGGAGGA
This 344-nucleotide unclassified non-coding RNA is filed under the name soil metagenome. Its description in RNAcentral is "partial contains 5.8S ribosomal RNA, internal transcribed spacer 2, and large subunit ribosomal RNA". The stretch from base 1 to 119 matches the Rfam family "5.8S ribosomal RNA", at positions 35 to 154 of the family's 154-position model. The record is from RNAcentral.